UCAGCAUGGCCGUUUAUAUCCUGGGCUACACACACGCUACAAUGGCCAACACAAUAGGUCGCUAAGCCGCGAGGUGGAGCCAAUCCAUAAAGUUGGUCUCAGUUCAGAUUGCAGGCUGCAACCCGCCUGCAUGAAGAUGGAGUUGCUAGUAACCGCAGGUCAGCUAUACUGCGGUGAAUACGUUCCCGGGGCUU
Molecule: ribosomal RNA, 194 nt
Filed under: uncultured Caldilineaceae bacterium
Lineage: Bacteria; Bacillati; Chloroflexota; Caldilineae; Caldilineales; Caldilineaceae
Description: partial 16S ribosomal RNA
Rfam family: Bacterial small subunit ribosomal RNA
Source: RNAcentral